RNAcentral lists this ribosomal RNA (253 nucleotides) under uncultured bacterium. Its description in RNAcentral is "partial 16S ribosomal RNA". It matches the Rfam family "Bacterial small subunit ribosomal RNA", at positions 524 to 776 of the family's 1533-position model. The record is from RNAcentral.
UACGUAGGGUGCAAGCGUUGUCCGGAAUUAUUGGGCGUAAAGAGCUCGUAGGCGGUUUGUCGCGUCGGCUGUGAAAGCCCGGAGCUCAACUCCGGGUCUGCAGUCGAUACGGGCAGACUUGAGUGUUGCAGGGGAGACUGGAAUUCCUGGUGUAGCGGUGAAAUGCGCAGGAUAUCAGGAGGAACACCGAUGGCGAAGGCAGGUCUCUGGGCCGAUGCUGACGUGAGGAGCGAAAGCGUGGGGAGCGAACAGG